Molecule: ribosomal RNA, 253 nt
Filed under: uncultured bacterium
Lineage: Bacteria
Description: partial 16S ribosomal RNA
Rfam family: Bacterial small subunit ribosomal RNA
Source: RNAcentral
UACGUAGGGUGCGAGCGUUGUCCGGAAUUAUUGGGCGUAAAGGGCUCGUAGGCGGUUUGUCGCGUCGGGAGUGAAAACUCAGGGCUUAACCCUGAGCCUGCUUCCGAUACGGGCAGACUAGAGGUAUGCAGGGGAGAACGGAAUUCCUGGUGUAGCGGUGAAAUGCGCAGAUAUCAGGAGGAACACCGGUGGCGAAGGCGGUUCUCUGGGCAUUACCUGACGCUGAGGAGCGAAAGUGUGGGGAGCGAGCAGG